This 450-nucleotide ribosomal RNA is filed under the name uncultured bacterium. RNAcentral describes it as "bacterial SSU rRNA". It matches the Rfam family "Bacterial small subunit ribosomal RNA", at positions 28 to 487 of the family's 1533-position model. The record is from RNAcentral.
GACGAACGCUGGCGGCGUGCUUAACACAUGCAAGUCAAGGGGGCCCAGCAAUGGGCAACCGGCGAACGGGUGCGUAACACGUGAGCAACCUACCGAACUGUGGGGGAUAGCCGGCCUAACGGCCGAGUAAUACCGCAUACGCUCUCAGUGAGGCAGUUUCAUUGAGAGGAAACCUACGGGACAGAUCGAGGGGCUCGCGGCCUAUCAGCUAGUUGGCGAGGUAACGGCUCACCAAGGCAACGACGGGUAGCUGGUCUGAGAGGAUGGCCAGCCACAUUGGGACUGAGAUACGGCCCAGACUCCUACGGGAGGCAGCAGUGGGGAAUCUUGCGCAAUGGCCUAACGGCUGACGCAGCGACGCCGCGUGUGGGAUGAAGCUCUUCGGAGUGUAAACCACUGUUGCCCGGGACGAAUAGCUCGAUUAAUCGAGCCUGACAGUACCGGGUGAGG